Molecule: ribosomal RNA, 791 nt
Filed under: Weissella cibaria
Lineage: Bacteria; Bacillati; Bacillota; Bacilli; Lactobacillales; Lactobacillaceae
Description: bacterial SSU rRNA
Rfam family: Bacterial small subunit ribosomal RNA
Source: RNAcentral
UANANUUUNNNNNAUGGCUCAGGAUGAACGCUGGCGGCGUGCCUAAUACAUGCAAGUCGAACGCUUUGUGGUUCAACUGAUUUGAAGAGCUUGCUCAGAUAUGACGAUGGACAUUGCAAAGAGUGGCGAACGGGUGAGUAACACGUGGGAAACCUACCUCUUAGCAGGGGAUAACAUUUGGAAACAGAUGCUAAUACCGUAUAACAAUAGCAACCGCAUGGUUGCUACUUAAAAGAUGGUUCUGCUAUCACUAAGAGAUGGUCCCGCGGUGCAUUAGUUAGUUGGUGAGGUAAUGGCUCACCAAGACGAUGAUGCAUAGCCGAGUUGAGAGACUGAUCGGCCACAAUGGGACUGAGACACGGCCCAUACUCCUACGGGAGGCAGCAGUAGGGAAUCUUCCACAAUGGGCGAAAGCCUGAUGGAGCAACGCCGCGUGUGUGAUGAAGGGUUUCGGCUCGUAAAACACUGUUGUAAGAGAAGAAUGACAUUGAGAGUAACUGUUCAAUGUGUGACGGUAUCUUACCAGAAAGGAACGGCUAAAUACGUGCCAGCAGCCGCGGUAAUACGUAUGUUCCAAGCGUUAUCCGGAUUUAUUGGGCGUAAAGCGAGCGCAGACGGUUAUUUAAGUCUGAAGUGAAAGCCCUCAGCUCAACUGAGGAAUUGCUUUGGAAACUGGAUGACUUGAGUGCAGUAGAGGAAAGUGGAACUCCAUGUGUAGCGGUGAAAUGCGUAGAUAUAUGGAAGAACACCAGUGGCGAAGGCGGCUUUCUGGACUGUAACUGACGUGNGNU